UACGGGGGGUGCAAGCGUUAUCCGGAAUCACUGGGUUUAAAGGGUGCGUAGGCGGGAUAUUAAGUCAGUGGUGAAAGUCUGUUGCUUAACAAUAGAAUUGCCGUUGAUACUGAUGUUCUUGAAUUGGGUUGAGGUUAGCGGAAUGUGACAUGUAGCGGUGAAAUGCAUAGAUAUGUCAUGGAACACCAAUUGCGAAGGCAGCUAGCUGGGCCUUGAUUGACGCUGAGGCACGAAAGCGUGGGUAGCGAACAGG
RNAcentral lists this ribosomal RNA (253 nucleotides) under Thermoleophilia bacterium. RNAcentral describes it as "partial 16S ribosomal RNA". It matches the Rfam family "Bacterial small subunit ribosomal RNA", at positions 524 to 776 of the family's 1533-position model. The record is from RNAcentral. Lineage: Bacteria; Bacillati; Actinomycetota; Thermoleophilia. RNAcentral also lists the same sequence under 1 other name.